GUGCAGCAGUCGCGAAUCCUCCGCAAUGCGCGAAAGCGCGACGGGGCCACCCCGAGUGCCGCCCGCUGAGGGUGGCUUUUCCCCGGUGUAGACAGCCGGGGGAAUAAGGGGAGGGCAAGUCUGGUGUCAGCCGCCGCGGUAAUACCAGCUCCCCGAGUGGUGGGGACGAUUAUUGGGCCUAAAGCGUCCGUAGCCGGCCCAGCAAGUCUCCCGUUAAAUCCAGCGAUCUAAUCGCUGGACUGCGGGAGAUACUGCUGGGCUAGGGGGCGGGAGAGGCCGGCGGUAUUUCCGGGGUAGGGGUGAAAGUCCUAUAAUCCCCGGGAGGACCACCAGUGGCGAAGGCUGCCGGCUGGAACGCGCCCGACGGUGAGGGACGAAAGCCGGGGGAGCGAACCGGAUUAGAUACCCGCGUAGU
This 415-nucleotide ribosomal RNA is filed under the name uncultured microorganism. RNAcentral's name for it is "bacterial SSU rRNA". It matches the Rfam family "Archaeal small subunit ribosomal RNA", at positions 330 to 745 of the family's 1478-position model. The record is from RNAcentral.